This 380-nucleotide ribosomal RNA is filed under the name uncultured bacterium. Its description in RNAcentral is "bacterial SSU rRNA". It matches the Rfam family "Bacterial small subunit ribosomal RNA", at positions 28 to 407 of the family's 1533-position model. The record is from RNAcentral.
GACGAACGCUGGCGGCGUGCUUAACACAUGCAAGUCGAACGGUAAGGCCCUUCGGGGUACGACGAGUGGCGAACGGGUGGAGUAACACGUGGGUGAUCUGCCCUGCACUUCGGGAUAAGCCUGGGAAACUGGGUCUAAUACCGGAUAGGACCAUGGACUUCACGGUUUGUGGUGGAAAGCUUUUGCGGUGUGGGAUGGGCCCGCGGCCUAUCAGCUUGUUGGUGGGGUAAUGGCCUACCAAGGCGACGACGGGUAGCCGGCCUGAGAGGGUGUCCGGCCACACUGGGGACUGAGAUACGGCCCAGACUCCUACGGGAGGCGGCAGUGGGGAAUAUUGCACAAUGGGCGGCAAGACCUGAUGCAGCGACGCCGCGUGAGGG